RNAcentral lists this ribosomal RNA (525 nucleotides) under uncultured archaeon. RNAcentral describes it as "bacterial SSU rRNA". It matches the Rfam family "Archaeal small subunit ribosomal RNA", at positions 40 to 557 of the family's 1478-position model. The record is from RNAcentral.
UCGGCUAAGCCAUGCGAGUGGUGGGCGUUCCGCAAGGGAUAGCCCCGCACACGGCUCAGUAACACGUAGUUAACCUACCCUCGGGACGGGAACAACGCCGGGAAACUGGCGUUAAUUCCAGAUAGGUGGGGGACGCUGGAAUGCCUCCCUGCCUAAAUCCUCUGGGGCCCGAGGAUGGGACUGCGGCCUAUCAGGCUGUUGGUGGUGUAACGGACCACCAAACCUACAACGGGUACGGGCGAUGGGAGUCGGAGCCCGGAGAUGGGGACUGAGACAAGGCCCCAGGCCCUACGGGGCGCAGCAGGUACGAAAACUCCGCAAUGCGCGAAAGCGUGACGGGGGAACCCCAAGUGCCGUUGGGCUUUGAUCGACGGCUUUUAGGGAGUCUAAGAAGCUCCCGGAAUAAGGGCUGGGCAAGUCGGGUGCCAGCCGCCGCGGUAAUACCCGCAGCCCAAGUAGUGGUCGCGAUUAUUGGGCCUAAAGCGCUCGUAGCCGGGUCAUCAAGUCCCUUGUGAAAUCGGGCGG